Penaeus indicus is the source of this 1149-nucleotide long non-coding RNA. RefSeq lists it as uncharacterized. The record is from RefSeq and is a predicted model, not a curated record. NCBI's taxonomy places the organism in Eukaryota, Metazoa, Arthropoda, Malacostraca, Decapoda, Penaeidae. The transcript is spliced from 2 exons.
CUUUAUUUAUUUAAUUUGUACCUGCAAAGGACUAGCUUUAUUUUCAUCUGUUUUUACAUAUAUAUAGGUAAUUGCUCCUAAAAUAGUCUGGUCUUUGGUGAUUGUUUAUAAAAAGAAUUGCAAUAAAGGUAAUUAUGAUAUUUUUCAGUUAAUAACUUUUUAUUCCCUUGCGUUUUAUACUUUCACAUGCACUUACAGACGUAUGUGUUAAUUAAUGAGCCCAACAAAUACACCACUAAAGAGAAAAUUUAACAAAAUAAAUAAUUUCAUCAACAACAACAUUUUUACUAAUAGAAUUACAUUAAAAAAUAGUGGCAAUAAUAUAGACGUACAUCCAUACUUAUACAUAAAUGUGUGCGCGUGUGUUUGUGUGUGUGUGUGUGUGUAUGUGUGUGUGUGUGUGUAGUGAGCUGCCGCUCUUACUGCCUCUUCCGGCGACCCACACCCGCUCAGCAUCACCCAAAACCCCCAUAAAAAGCCCCCGCGACCAAUAUUAUCAGUUUGGACCAGGGCGCGAGCAUAAUGACGGAGGCACCGACGGAGACGCUGCAGAAGGUACUGCCUGACGGAGGCGCUGCAGGAGGAGGAUGGAGACGCCCUGGGCAUUUUUCAACAUAUCGAGGAGAUUUGGUCUAAGCUAUCCAUGCUUCGAUGUCCCGAUGUCCCACUCGAGGCCUGUGAAGGAUGACGUUGGGAGGUCGCUCUCAUGGGUACGGGCAUAACAAGAUGGCGCCCAAGAUGGCGACAGACAAGGCCGAGGGAAAACUGACAACGGCCAUUUGGCGCCAAACCCCUCAGCUAGCCCACGGAUAUAUUUUUUAUCGUGUGUUUGAAUUUAUGUGUGUUUGUUCCUUUCUUUUAUUGUUUAUAUUAUUUUAUGUGCAUUUUUCUGUAUUAAACCUCCUUUUAUUUUUAAACUAAGGCAAUCUAUUGAUAAUAUUUUAAUAUUUUAAGAAACUCUCAUAGAAGGCAGACGACAAUUAACCAUGAAAUGAGUCUAGAUGCGCGAACAUCUCCUGGCGCACGACCUUGUUUGGAUAAAUAAGAUUGCCCAUUUUUACGUGUAUUUGUGUUGAACUUUUAUUUUUCCGGAGGUUUUAUUUAAUUGUGUUCUCGCUUUUGUUUUAAAUAAUAAUAGUAUUGAGCUUU